UACGGAGGAUGCAAGCGUUAUCCGGAAUGAUUGGGCGUAAAGCGUCCGCAGGUGGCUGUGUAAGUCUGCUGUUAAAGAGUGAGGCUCAACCUCAUAAAAGCAGUGGAAACUACACGGCUAGAGUGCGUUCGGGGCAGAGGGAAUUCCUGGUGUAGCGGUGAAAUGCGUAGAUAUCAGGAAGAACACCGGUGGCGAAAGCGCUCUGCUGGGCCGACACUGACACUGAGAGACGAAAGCUAGGGGAGCAAAUGGG
RNAcentral lists this ribosomal RNA (253 nucleotides) under uncultured bacterium. Its description in RNAcentral is "partial 16S ribosomal RNA". It matches the Rfam family "Bacterial small subunit ribosomal RNA", at positions 524 to 776 of the family's 1533-position model. The record is from RNAcentral.